RNAcentral lists this ribosomal RNA (467 nucleotides) under uncultured bacterium. Its description in RNAcentral is "partial 16S ribosomal RNA". It matches the Rfam family "Bacterial small subunit ribosomal RNA", at positions 28 to 507 of the family's 1533-position model. The record is from RNAcentral.
GACGAACGCUGGCGGCGUGCUUAACACAUGCAAGUCGAACGGAAAGGCCCUGCUUUUGUGGGGUGCUCGAGGGGCGAACGGGUGAGUAACACGUGAGUAACCUGCCCUUGACUUUGGGAUAACUUCAGGAAACUGGGGCUAAUACCGGAUAGGAGCUCCUGCUGCAUGGUGGGGGUUGGAAAGUUUCGGCGGUUGGGGUUGGACUCGCGGCUUAUCAGCUUGUUGGUGGGGUGGUGGCUAACCAAGGCUUUGACGGUUAGCCGGCUUGUGAGGGUGACCGGCCACCUGGGCUUGGAAUGCGGCCCCGCCCCCCUUCGGACGGGAGGGGGGGGAAGGUUGUAUUAGGGGAGGGACGCAAGCCUGAUCAAGCCCCGGCGCGGGAGUACGGCCUCCGGUUGGUAACCCCCUUUCCCUUGGCCGGAACGGUAAUGACGGUAACGGGGUAAGAAGCCCCGGCUAACUCCGUG